CAACCUGGCUUACGCCGGUUUGAACUCAAAUCAUGUAAGAAUUUAAAAGUCGAACAGACUUCCUUUUAUAAAGGCUGCUUUAUAAAGGAUUCUUAAUUCAACAUCGAGGUCGCAACCUUUUUUGUCGAUAUGGGCUCUCAAAAAAAAUUACGCUGUUAUCCCUAAAGUAACUUAACUUUUUAAUCUUUAGAAAGGAUCAUUUAAAAUACAAACAGGUGUGUAUUAUUUACAAAAUAGUUAUUUUUUAUAUUUUUAUCGCCCCAAUAUAAUAAAUUAUCAGUAAAAAUGAGAUUUCACAAACAAAUCCUCAGAGAACAAAUUAUAAAUAAAGAUUUAUAGGGUCUUAUCGUCUUCUUUUUUUAUUUAAGCCUUUUGACUUAAAAGUUAAAUUCAAUUUUUAUUUCUGAGACAGUUUAUUUUUCGUUCAUUCCUUCAUACAAUCCUUCAAUUAAAAGGCUAAUUAUUAUGCUACCUUAGCACGGUCAGGAAUACCGCAGCUCUUAAAUUUUAUCAGUGAGCAGAACAUACUUUUUAUUUUCUCCUAAAAGAAAUGUUUUU
RNAcentral lists this ribosomal RNA (558 nucleotides) under Belzebub faxoni. Its description in RNAcentral is "partial 16S ribosomal RNA". Lineage: Eukaryota; Metazoa; Arthropoda; Malacostraca; Decapoda; Luciferidae. The record is from RNAcentral.